GUGCCAGCAGCUGCGGUAAUACGGAGGGUGCAAGCGUUAAUCGGAAUGACUGGGCGUAAAGGGCAUGUAGGCGGUUUUUAAGUCAGAUGUGAAAUCCCUGGGCUUAACCUAGGAACUGCAUUUGAAACUAAGAGGCUAGAGUACUGUAGAGGAAGGUAGAAUUCCAUGUGUAGCGGUGAAAUGCGUAGAGAUAUGGAGGAAUACCGGUGGCGAAGGCGGCCUUCUGGACAGAUACUGACGCUGAGAUGCGAAAGCGUGGGAGCAAACAGGAUAGAUACCCUGGUAGUCCACG
RNAcentral lists this ribosomal RNA (292 nucleotides) under uncultured Orbus sp. RNAcentral describes it as "partial 16S ribosomal RNA". It matches the Rfam family "Bacterial small subunit ribosomal RNA", at positions 505 to 799 of the family's 1533-position model. Lineage: Bacteria; Pseudomonadati; Pseudomonadota; Gammaproteobacteria; Orbales; Orbaceae. The record is from RNAcentral.